AAAAUGUGGAGGAGUUCCAUUAGCGGCAAAAGUUUUAGGUUGGACGAUGGGCUCCAAAAUGGAUAAGGAAGAAUGGUUGUCAAUUGGAAACAAUAAUGUUUUGAAUGCAUCAGAUGGUAAAAAUGAUAACGUUGAGUCUAUAUUGAAGCUCAGUUUUGAUCACUUGCCUUCAUAUCUGAAGUCAUGUUUCACAUAUUGUUCAGUUUUCCCGAAAGAUGCUCUGAUUGAAAAAGAACUAUUAAUUCGGUUGUGGAUGGCUGA
RNAcentral lists this unclassified non-coding RNA (261 nucleotides) under Hevea brasiliensis (rubber tree). Lineage: Eukaryota; Viridiplantae; Streptophyta; Magnoliopsida; Malpighiales; Euphorbiaceae. The record is from RNAcentral.